UUAUGUGAUGUGUACUUACCCUUCAAUAAUUUUAAUUAUCUCCUUCAUAAUCCUCUUUAUAUCCGGAUACAUUUAUUUAAAAUCAAAAGAUAAAAAGUGCAAAGAUUGCGAAUCAAUAAAAGGAUUUUGCCCGAUUCACUCAAAUGGGACAUGCCAAACCCAUUUGUGUCAACACCCGUAAUCAUUAAUGCAACUUUUAACCUCUUCCGGUUAACGUCAAAAUAUUAAACGUCAAAACAAUUCGUUAGUGGCGCGAACAUUCAACAGGUGACCGCUACCGAAACUAAAUUAACCCCGUGACGUCACAUAAAAAAAUGGCUACGAAUUACGAAUUUUAUUUUCGCGAUUUUACCCCGAAAAAUCACCAAGCACCGCGAAAAAUCGUUCCUGGGGGAUGAAUCGGGACGCGAAGAACACGUUUCGAACACUUUUAACAGUUAAAUCGACGAUUUUCCCGGAAAAAUCACGAAAAAUUCACCGCACGUAAACAAACCCGCAACAAGUG
This is a long non-coding RNA of Onthophagus taurus, 505 nucleotides long. RefSeq lists it as uncharacterized. The record is from RefSeq and is a predicted model, not a curated record. Lineage: Eukaryota; Metazoa; Arthropoda; Insecta; Coleoptera; Scarabaeidae.